Molecule: ribosomal RNA, 1258 nt
Filed under: Salmonella enterica
Lineage: Bacteria; Pseudomonadati; Pseudomonadota; Gammaproteobacteria; Enterobacterales; Enterobacteriaceae
Description: partial 23S ribosomal RNA
Rfam family: Bacterial large subunit ribosomal RNA
Source: RNAcentral
CCCUGCUUCCAGGAAAAGCCUCUAAGCCUCAGGUAACAUCAAAUCGUACCCCAAACCGACACAGGUGGUCAGGUAGAGAAUACCAAGGCGCUUGAGAGAACUCGGGUGAAGGAACUAGGCAAAAUGGUGCCGUAACUUCGGGAGAAGGCACGCUGACACGUAGGUGAAGUGGUUUACCCAUGGAGCUGAAGUCAGUCGAAGAUACCAGCUGGCUGCAACUGUUUAUUAAAAACACAGCACUGUGCAAACACGAAAGUGGACGUAUACGGUGUGACGCCUGCCCGGUGCCGGAAGGUUAAUUGAUGGGGUCAGCGCAAGCGAAGCUCCUGAUCGAAGCCCCGGUAAACGGCGGCCGUAACUAUAACGGUCCUAAGGUAGCGAAAUUCCUUGUCGGGUAAGUUCCGACCUGCACGAAUGGCGUAAUGAUGGCCAGGCUGUCUCCACCCGGGACUCAGUGAAAUUGAACUCGCUGUGAAGAUGCAGUGUACCCGCGGCAAGACGGAAAGACCCCGUGAACCUUUACUAUAGCUUGACACUGAACACUGGUCCUUGAUGUGCAGGAUAGGUGGGAGGCUUUGAAGUGUGGACGCCAGUCUGCAUGGAGCCAUCCUUGAAAUACCACCCUUUAAUGGCUGGUGUUCUAACGUGGGCCCCUGACCGGGGUUGCGGACAGUGUCUGGUGGGUAGUUUGACUGGGGCGGUCUCCUCCUAAAGAGUAACGGAGGAGCACGAAGGUUGGCUAAUCCUGGUCGGACAUCAGGAGGUUAGUGCAAUGGCAUAAGCCAGCUUGACUGCGAGCGUGACGGCGCGAGCAGGUGCGAAAGCAGGUCAUAGUGAUCCGGUGGUUCUGAAUGGAAGGGCCAUCGCUCAACGGAUAAAAGGUACUCCGGGGAUAACAGGCUGAUACCGCCCAAGAGUUCAUAUCGACGGCGGUGUUUGGCACCUCGAUGUCGGCUCAUCACAUCCUGGGGCUGAAGUAGGUCCCAAGGGUAUGGCUGUUCGCCAUUUAAAGUGGUACGCGAGCUGGGUUUAGAACGUCGUGAGACAGUUCGGUCCCUAUCUGCCGUGGGCGCUGGAAGAUUGAGGGGGGCUGCUCCUAGUACGAGAGGACCGGAGUGGACGCAUCACUGGUGUUCGGGUUGUCAUGCCAAUGGCACUGCCCGGUAGCUACAUGCGGAAGAGAUAAGUGCUGAAAGCAUCUAAGCACGAAACUUGCCCCGAGAUGAAUCUUCCCUGAGCCUUUAAGGCUCCUGAAGGA